GUGGGGAAUAUUGGACAAUGGGCGAAAGCCUGAUCCAGCCAUGCCGCGUGAGUGAUGAAGGCCUUAGGGUUGUAAAGCUCUUUCAGUAGGGAAGAUAAUGACGGUACCUACAGAAGAAGCCCCGGCUAACUUCGUGCCAGCAGCCGCGGUAAUACGAAGGGGGCUAGCGUUGUUCGGAUUUACUGGGCGUAAAGCGCACGUAGGCGGAUUGGUCAGUUAGAAGUGAAAUCCUGGAGCUCAACUCCAGAACUGCCUUUAAUACUGCCAGUCUAGAGUCCAGAAGAGGUGAGUGGAACUCCUAGUGUAGAGGUGGAAUUCGUAGAUAUUAGGAAGAACACCAGUGGCGAAGGCGGCUCACUGGUCUGGUACUGACGCUGAGGUGCGAAAGCGUGGGGAGCAAACAGGAUUAGAAACCCCAGUAGUCC
RNAcentral lists this ribosomal RNA (425 nucleotides) under uncultured bacterium. Its description in RNAcentral is "partial 16S ribosomal RNA". It matches the Rfam family "Bacterial small subunit ribosomal RNA", at positions 354 to 796 of the family's 1533-position model. The record is from RNAcentral.